Molecule: ribosomal RNA, 429 nt
Filed under: Acidobacteriota bacterium
Lineage: Bacteria; Pseudomonadati; Acidobacteriota
Description: Acidobacteria bacterium partial 16S ribosomal RNA
Rfam family: Bacterial small subunit ribosomal RNA
Source: RNAcentral
UGGGGAAUUUUGGACAAUGGGGGAAACCCUGAUCCAGCCAUCCCGCGUGUGCGAUGAAGGCCUUCGGGUUGUAAAGCACUUUUGGCAGGAAAGAAACGUCAUGGGUUAAUACCCCGUGAAACUGACGGUACCUGCAGAAUAAGCACCGGCUAACUACGUGCCAGCAGCCGCGGUAAUACGUAGGGUGCAAGCGUUAAUCGGAAUUACUGGGCGUAAAGCGUGCGCAGGCGGUUCGGAAAGAAAGAUGUGAAAUCCCAGAGCUCAACUUUGGAACUGCAGUUUUAACUAGCGGGCUAGGGUGUGGCAGAGGGAGGUGGAAUUCCGGGUGUAGCAGUGAAAUGCGUAGAUAUGCGGAGGAACACCGAUGGCGAAGGCAGCCUCCUGGGAUAACACUGACGCUGAUGCACGAAAGCGUGGGGAGCAAACAGG